RNAcentral lists this non-coding RNA (250 nucleotides) under Paucilactobacillus vaccinostercus. Its description in RNAcentral is "Lactobacillus vaccinostercus T-box sequence". It matches the Rfam family "T-box leader". From Rfam's summary of the family: Uncharged tRNA acts as the effector for transcription antitermination of genes in the T-box leader family. The record is from RNAcentral. Lineage: Bacteria; Bacillati; Bacillota; Bacilli; Lactobacillales; Lactobacillaceae.
UAGAAAAUCAUGAAGAGAUGAGUAGCCUAGUUAGUGCAGUACAGAGACCUGGGGUCGGUGAAAUCCAGGCUGGAUUGCUAGUCGAAGAUGGUCUCGGAGCAUUGUAUGAGUGAGGAAACCCGAACUGGUACCGGUCGCUACCGUUAUGAAGCGUUUGGUGACAUUAAAUUUUUUUAAUGAAACUAAUUGAGACUACUCAUAAAUGAGUAGUGAACCAAGGUGGUACCACGGGUUAGCGCUCGUCCUUUAC